This 253-nucleotide ribosomal RNA is filed under the name uncultured bacterium. RNAcentral describes it as "partial 16S ribosomal RNA". It matches the Rfam family "Bacterial small subunit ribosomal RNA", at positions 524 to 776 of the family's 1533-position model. The record is from RNAcentral.
GACAGAGGGUGCAAACGUUGUUGGGAAUUACUGGGCGUAAAGCGCGUGUAGGCGGCUCGGAAAGUCGGGUGUGAAAGCCCUGGGCUCAACCUAGGAAGUGCACUCGAAACUUCCGAGCUGGAGUUCUGGAGAGGAAGGCGGAAUUCUCGGUGUAGAGGUGAAAUUCGUAGAUAUCGAGAGGAACACCGGUGGCGAAGGCGGCCUUCUGGACAGCAACUGACGCUGAGACGCGAAAGCGUGGGGAGCAAACAGG